GAUGAACGCUGGCGGCGUGCUUAACACAUGCAAGUCGAACGAAGCACUUUAUUUGAUUUCCUUCGGGACUGAUUAUUUUGUGACUGAGUGGCGGACGGGUGAGUAACGCGUGGGUAACCUGCCUUGUACAGGGGGAUAACAGUUGGAAACGGCUGCUAAUACCGCAUAAGCGCACGGCAUCGCAUGAUGCAGUGUGAAAAACUCCGGUGGUAUAAGAUGGACCCGCGUUGGAUUAGCUAGUUGGUGAGGUAACGGCCCACCAAGGCGACGAUCCAUAGCCGACCUGAGAGGGUGACCGGCCACAUUGGGACUGAGACACGGCCCAAAACUCCUACGGGAGGCAGCAGUGGGGAAUAUUGCACAAUGGGCGAAAGCCUGAUGCAGCGACGCCGCGUGAGCGAAGAAGUAUUUCGGUAUGUAAAGCUCUAUCAGCAGGGAAGAUAAUGACGGUACCUGACUAAGAGCACCGGCUAAAUACGUGCCAG
RNAcentral lists this ribosomal RNA (485 nucleotides) under uncultured bacterium. RNAcentral describes it as "bacterial SSU rRNA". It matches the Rfam family "Bacterial small subunit ribosomal RNA", at positions 28 to 511 of the family's 1533-position model. The record is from RNAcentral.